GUCAUGAUUUCUGGAAUGAUUCAUGGCUCAAACCUACAUGGCCCCUGGAUUGGACUGCGGCCGAUCAGGCUGUUGGUGAGGUAAUGGCCCACCAAACCUGUUACCGGUACGGGCUCUGAGAGGAGGAGCCCGGAGAUGGGCACUGAGACAAGGGCCCAGGCCCUAUGGGGCGCAGCAGGCGCGAAACCUCUGCAAUAGGCGAAAGCCUGACAGGGUUACUCUGAGUGAUUUCCGCUAAGGGAAUCUUUUGGCACCUCUAAAAAUGGUGCAGAAUAAGGGGUGGGCAAGUCUGGUGUCAGCCGCCGCGGUAAUACCAGCACCCCGAGUGGUCGGGACGAUUAUUGGGCCUAAAGCAUCCGUAGCCGGUCCUACAAGUCUUCCGUUAAAUCCAGCUGCUUAACAGAUGGGCCGCGGGAGAUACUACAGGGCUAGGAGGCGGGAGAGGCAAGCGGUACUUUAUGGGUAGGGGUAAAAUCCGCUGAUCCAUAGAAGA
This 493-nucleotide ribosomal RNA is filed under the name uncultured archaeon. Its description in RNAcentral is "bacterial SSU rRNA". It matches the Rfam family "Archaeal small subunit ribosomal RNA", at positions 156 to 656 of the family's 1478-position model. The record is from RNAcentral.